CUUGAUCGGGCCGAGCCACAGCGGCGCGCCGGCGCGCGCCUGGCCGUAGGUGGCCAGGCGGGCGUGCGCCUC
Molecule: antisense RNA, 72 nt
Filed under: Streptomyces rubellomurinus subsp. indigoferus
Lineage: Bacteria; Bacillati; Actinomycetota; Actinomycetes; Kitasatosporales; Streptomycetaceae
Description: ASpks sRNA
Rfam family: ASpks TB sRNA
Source: RNAcentral